Molecule: ribosomal RNA, 253 nt
Filed under: uncultured bacterium
Lineage: Bacteria
Description: partial 16S ribosomal RNA
Rfam family: Bacterial small subunit ribosomal RNA
Source: RNAcentral
UACGAAGGGUGCGAGCGUUGUUCGGAAUUACUGGGCGUAAAGGGAGUGUAGGCGGAUAUGUAAGAUAGCGGUGAAAUGCCGGGGCUCAACCCCGGAACUGCCAUUAUGACUAUGUAUCUAGAGUAAUGGAGAGGAUAGCGGAAUACCCAGUGUAGAGGUGAAAUUCGUAGAUAUUGGGUAGAACACCGGUGGCGAAGGCGGCUAUCUGGCCAUUUACUGACGCUGAGGCUCGAAAGCAUGGGGAUCAAACAGG